GACCUUGAAAUACCACCCUUUAAUGUUUGAUGUUCUAACGUUGACCCGUAAUCCGGGUUGCGGACAGUGUCUGGUGGGUAGUUUGACUGGGGCGGUCUCCUCCUAAAGAGUAACGGAGGAGCACGAAGGUUGGCUAAUCCUGGUCGGACAUCAGGAGGUUAGUGCAAUGGCAUAAGCCAGCUUGACUGCGAGCGUGACGGCGCGAGCAGGUGCGAAAGCAGGUCAUAGUGAUCCGGUGGUUCUGAAUGGAAGGGCCAUCGCUCAACGGAUAAAAGGUACUCCGGGGAUAACAGGCUGAUACCGCCCAAGAGUUCAUAUCGACGGCGGUGUUUGGCACCUCGAUGUCGGCUCAUCACAUCCUGGGGCUGAAGUAGGUCCCAAGGGUAUGGCUGUUCGCCAUUUAAAGUGGUACGCGAGCUGGGUUUAGAACGUCGUGAGACAGUUCGGUCCCUAUCUGCCGUGGGCGCUGGAGAACUGAGGGGGGCUGCUCCUAGUACGAGAGGACCGGAGUGGACGCAUCACUGGUGUUCGGGUUGUCAUGCCAAUGGCACUGCCCGGUAGCUAAAUGCGGAAGAGAUAAGUGCUGAAAGCAUCUAAGCACGAAACUUGCCCCGAGAUGAGUUCUCCCUGACUCCUUGAGAGUCCUGAAG
RNAcentral lists this ribosomal RNA (650 nucleotides) under Escherichia coli. RNAcentral describes it as "partial 23S ribosomal RNA". It matches the Rfam family "Bacterial large subunit ribosomal RNA", at positions 2188 to 2833 of the family's 2925-position model. The record is from RNAcentral. Lineage: Bacteria; Pseudomonadati; Pseudomonadota; Gammaproteobacteria; Enterobacterales; Enterobacteriaceae.